GAAGUAACCAGCCCUUGUGCCCUGUCUUCCCCACCCUAAUGGCAAGGCGUCUUCAGCCAAAGCUGAAGCACAGAGCCUUCUUCCCCUUGAUUCUGUUUAUAAAUAAAGUUCCCCACCCUCGUCCCCUUCAGCAACCUGCUCUCCCUCUGAACCUUGUAAAUCCCCUUCCCGACCUCACGACCUCACGGGGCUUACAGGGACAAGGCAACUAGCUGACUGCUUAUUUAUUGAAAAUAAAUGACAGAAAAGUCUGGCCUUGCUUCCUUAUGUCUUGGGGCCUAUUUCGGGUACCUAUGGACAAAAACCUUAGUGUCAUACAGUCCAGAAAGCAGCUGUGUGUCCCAGGGCCUCUAUGUGAGGAGCCACUGAAUCCAACAGCUUCUAGCCAUAAGCUGGGUACGCAGAGAGUGGGACUGGCUGCUGGCCCGAGGUGAUGGGGUGGGAGAACUGGAUCCAUGAGGGAGCAUGGCAGCCUGAAAGCUUUGGUUCUGGGAGGAGGCUAGGACCCUCUUCCAGGUAUCAUCCCUGAGGGCAGGGCCAGCCACCCUGGGUGGAAGUAGUGGCCCGGGACACCACUGUCCAGGUUUGCAGCUGACGGACUCCAUUCUGAGACCUGCAGUCCACACCUCACAGUUCUGGUAGAGAAUGGGGCAGCUUCCCCAGCAGGGAGGCCUCUCGCCUGGCCCCUCACGAGUCCUUAAUGUCCUUAAUGUCCCUGAGGGGUGCCUCGUCCAGAAUGCUACGUACUUGCUCCAGAGUGUCUGCUUGGCGGAUCUGCUCCAGGCGCACCUGUGUGGUUGGG
This 802-nucleotide long non-coding RNA is filed under the name Rattus norvegicus (Norway rat). RNAcentral describes it as "long non-coding RNA NONRATT003159". The record is from RNAcentral. Lineage: Eukaryota; Metazoa; Chordata; Mammalia; Rodentia; Muridae.